UGGACACUUACUUUCCACUGUAGAUCCCUAUGGGGGCUGUAGAAAUAUUACUGACCACAGGAAAGUCAGAAAACGUUCACCUGCUUAAGAAGCAUCAGCACCUACUUCCAGAGUUAGUAGAUAUCUUCAGACUGAACCCAAAGUUGACAACUGAAGAUAUGUGGCUGCAGAAGGAUGUAACAUGACCACGGCCACUCAUUGUGCCACUCCAGGGGGCUGCCAGCCAUUCAUACCGCAUUCCAUGUGAAUGGAUCUGUGAAAGAAAAAUUGUAUCUCACCAGUGAAACAGGACGCCUGCCACAGCAUGGCUUGACAAGCCGGUAUCUGAACCUGCGAACCCCAGGCUGCUGAAG
RNAcentral lists this long non-coding RNA (353 nucleotides) under Equus caballus (horse). RNAcentral describes it as "lncRNA (ENSECAG00000050647.1)". The record is from RNAcentral. Lineage: Eukaryota; Metazoa; Chordata; Mammalia; Perissodactyla; Equidae.